AACAUCGCGCACCUGCGGGAACCUGCGGAGGGAUCAUUAAAGAUUGACCGAAAGGUCUUAUCUCUAUAUCCCUCACCUCUGUGAACUGUGGACCUCCGGGUCUAUUUAACAAACAUCAGUGUAAUGAACGUAUAUAUCAUUAAACAAAACAAAACUUUCAGCAAUGGAUCU
RNAcentral lists this unclassified non-coding RNA (171 nucleotides) under soil metagenome. Its description in RNAcentral is "partial contains 5.8S ribosomal RNA, internal transcribed spacer 2, and large subunit ribosomal RNA". The record is from RNAcentral.